GGCGGGACACGUGGUAUCCUGUCUGAAUAUGGGGGGACCAUCCUCCAAGGCUAAAUACUCCUGACUGACCGAUAGUGAACCAGUACCGUGAGGGAAAGGCGAAAAGAACCCCGGCGAGGGGAGUGAAAAAGAACCUGAAACCGUGUACGUACAAGCAGUGGGAGCACCUUCGGGUGUGACUGCGUACCUUUUGUAUAAUGGGUCAGCGACUUAUAUUCUGUAGCAAGGUUAACCGUAUAGGGGAGCCGCAGGGAAACCGAGUCUUAACUGGGCGUUAAGUUGCAGGGUAUAGACCCGAAACCCGGUGAUCUAGCCAUGGGCAGGUUGAAGGUUGGGUAACACUAACUGGAGGACCGAACCGACUAAUGUUGAAAAAUUAGCGGAUGACUUGUGGCUGGGGGUGAAAGGCCAAUCAAACCGGGAGAUAGCUGGUUCUCCCCGAAAGCUAUUUAGGUAGCGCCUCGUGAAUUCAUCUUCGGGGGUAGAGCACUGUUUCGGCUAGGGGGUCAUCCCGACUUACCAACCCGAUGCAAACUACGAAUACCGAAGAAUGUUAUCACGGGAGACACACGGCGGGUGCUAACGUCCGUCGUGAAGAGGGAAACAACCCAGACCGCCAGCUAAGGUCCCAAAGUCAUGGUUAAGUGGGAAACGAUGUGGGAAGGCACAGACAGCCAGGAUGUUGGCUUAGAAGCAGCCAUCAUUUAAAGAAAGCGUAAUAGCUCACUGGUCGAGUCGGCCUGCGCGGAAGAUGUAACGGGGCUAAACCAUGCACCGAAGCUGCGGCAGCGACACUAUGUGUUGUUGGGUAGGGGAGCGUUCUGUAAGCCUGCGAAGGUGUGCUGUGAGGCAUGCUGGAGGUAUCAGAAGUGCGAAUGCUGACAUAAGUAACGAUAAAGCGGGUGAAAAGCCCGCUCGCCGGAAGACCAAGGGUUCCUGUCCAACGUUAAUCGGGGCAGGGUGAGUCGACCCCUAAGGCGAGGCCGAAAGGCGUAGUCGAUGGGAAACAGGUUAAUAUUCCUGUACUUGGUGUUACUGCGAAGGGGGGACGGAGAAGGCUAUGUUAGCCGGGCGACGGUUGUCCCGGUUUAAGCAUGUAGGCUGGUUAUCCAGGCAAAUCCGGAUAAUCAAGGCUGAGGUGUGAUGACGAGGCACUACGGUGCUGAAGUAACAAAUGCCCUGCUUCCAGGAAAAGCCUCUAAGCAUCAGGUAACAUCAAAUCGUACCCCAAACCGACACAGGUGGUCAGGUAGAGAAUACCAAGGCGCUUGAGAGAACUCGGGUGAAGGAACUAGGCAAAAUGGUGCCGUAACUUCGGGAGAAGGCACGCUGGUGUGUAGGUGAAGUCCCUGCGGAUGGAGCUGAGACCAGUCGAAGAUACCAGCUGGCUGCAACUGUUUAUUAAAAACACAGCACUGUGCAAACACGAAAGUGGACGUAUACGGUGUGACGCCUGCCCGGUGCCGGAAGGUUAAUUGAUGGGGUUAUCCGUAAGGAGAAGCUCUUGAUCGAAGCCCCGGUAAACGGCGGCCGUAACUAUAACGGUCCUAAGGUAGCGAAAUUCCUUGUCGGGUAAGUUCCGACCUGCACGAAUGGCGUAAUGAUGGCCAGGCUGUCUCCACCCGAGACUCAGUGAAAUUGAACUCGCUGUGAAGAUGCAGUGUACCCGCGGCAAGACGGAAAGACCCCGUGAACCUUUACUAUAGCUUGACACUGAACAUUGAGCCUUGAUGUGUAGGAUAGGUGGGAGGCUUUGAAGCGUGGACGCCAGUCUGCGUGGAGCCAACCUUGAAAUACCACCCUUUAAUGUUUGAUGUUCUAACGUUGGCCCCUUACCGGGGUUGCGGACAGUGUCUGGUGGGUAGUUUGACUGGGGCGGUCUCCUCCCAAAGCGUAACGGAGGAGCACGAAGGUUAGCUAAUCCUGGUCGGACAUCAGGAGGUUAGUGCAAUGGCAUAAGCUAGCUUGACUGCGAGCGUGACGGCGCGAGCAGGUGCGAAAGCAGGUCAUAGUGAUCCGGUGGUUCUGAAUGGAAGGGCCAUCGCUCAACGGAUAAAAGGUACUCCGGGGAUAACAGGCUGAUACCGCCCAAGAGUUCAUAUCGACGGCGGUGUUUGGCACCUCGAUGUCGGCUCAUCACAUCCUGGGGCUGAAGUAGGUCCCAAGGGUAUGGCUGUUCGCCAUUUAAAGUGGUACGCGAGCUGGGUUUAGAACGUCGUGAGACAGUUCGGUCCCUAUCUGCCGUGGGCGCUGGAGAAUUGAGGGGGGCUGCUCCUAGUACGAGAGGACCGGAGUGGACGCAUCACUGGUGUUCGGGUUGUCAUGCCAAUGGCACUGCCCGGUAGCUAAAUGCGGAAGAGAUAAGUGCUGAAAGCAUCUAAGCACGAAACUUGCCCCGAGAUGAGUUCUCCCUGAGACUUUAAGUCUCCUGAAGGAACGUUGAAGACGACGACGUUGAUAGGCCGGGUGUGUAAGCGCAGCGAUGCGUUGAGCUAACCGGUACUAAUGAACCGUGAGGCUUAACCUU
This 2527-nucleotide ribosomal RNA is filed under the name Klebsiella pneumoniae. RNAcentral's name for it is "23S ribosomal RNA". It matches the Rfam family "Bacterial large subunit ribosomal RNA", at positions 416 to 2925 of the family's 2925-position model. The record is from RNAcentral. Lineage: Bacteria; Pseudomonadati; Pseudomonadota; Gammaproteobacteria; Enterobacterales; Enterobacteriaceae.